Molecule: long non-coding RNA, 459 nt
Filed under: Heterocephalus glaber (naked mole-rat)
Lineage: Eukaryota; Metazoa; Chordata; Mammalia; Rodentia; Bathyergidae
Description: lncRNA (ENSHGLG00000047973.1)
Source: RNAcentral
UCAUUCCAGGAGAGGAGAAAACAAAAACAACAAAACUAAAAUCCGUGAAUGAAAGGGAACAUGUAGUGUUCCCUUCCUGUGUCCUCAGGGUGAUAAGGAAGACUGGAGAAGGAAAAUCUACCUACUGCAGGAACAUCCCAGCUUCUUUUGGGAAAACACCUCCACCUUCAACCCAAGACCUCCAAUCUGUACUUUCAGGAGUGGAUUUUUUCGGAUUUAACCAAAUAAGAACAGUCAUUUCCAUGGUUAUACAGGUUGGUUAUGAAUAAAUCAUUUACAAAAGGCCAAUCAGAACAAAUGUGAAGAAUGUUAUUUGAAAUGAUGGAAAUGCAUAUCUUCUCAUCUUGGGAAAUCAUCUGAGAGCUGCUAUGGCCCAAGGGAAGCCUGGAAUAGAUAAGAGAAGGUAUGCCUAAGAACCCAGAAGUGGAGCCAGGUCUGAGGAAGGAGAACAACACAGUG